GGCAAAGAGAAACUGAAACUUGAAGCGGGCGGCUUGGUGGGAAGACGGGAGGCCCCGGGGUGCAGAGGGCCGGCUGAGCACCUCCCAACCCCGCCCCGAGGGUCCCCAGGCACAGGAGGACAUUCAGCAGAGGGGCGCCGGAGGCCGGGAGGAGUCAGCGCAGGGGCUGCAGGAAAGCACGCUGACAGCUCGGCGUGCACCCGGAGCACCUGUCCUCUCCCCCCCAGGACGGCCUCCUGGACCCGGGUGACAGUCAGCCCAAAGCUGCCAUGUGCUUCUCUGUCUCCCAGGACACGGGAAGGUGGAGACAGACGUAGCGGACAGUCCCGCCCUGAACGCAAGGAGAUCACAUUGUCCACUCGGUGUCUCAGACGCAGAAGUAAAUCAGAACAUCCCAAAAGCAGAGACUACCCGCUCAUCACUAACCCGGCUUCAGGAACGUGCAGACUUUACCUGUCUCCCCACUGAACCUCGGUUCUACCUGGAAGGACUCUUCUGCGCCCUCGUGGGCUGACAGCCCAGAGACGCCUCCUCCUCUGCCUGGAAAAUGCACCCAAGACGGACAAUACAUCAGGUUCCACGGAGCAGACAGACUCCCCUCCUUCUGCCCUCAGUCCGUGGAGCCCAGGUGACUUCGGUGUUACACCUGCUUCCAAGCCCAGCAGCCAAGAAGUCCCAGGUCAUCUCCAGCACCUUGAAGAUCUGCCUUGGAGUGUCCUGGGGCGGCUGUGACGAAGUGCCCCAAACUGGGGGCUUAGAACCACAGGCAUCCAUCCUUCCCCAGAGCUGGAGACCAGACUUCUGAGGUCAAGGUGUCCCAGGGCCGCACUCCCUCCAAAGGCUCCAGGGGAGGGUCCUCCCUGCCUCUUCCAGCUUCUGGGGGCUCCAGGCGUCCAUCCCUGGGCUGGUGGCCGCCUCCCUCCCAUCUCUGCCUCCGUCUCCACGUGGCGUCUUCUCUGUAUCUGUGUCUCUCCUCUUCUGUCUCUUCUGAGGUCACUGUCCUUGGAAGUAGGGCCACCUCCUCCAGGAGGACCUCCUCUCAGACCCUGCACUCUAUCCCAUCUGCAGAGACCCUGUUUCCAUAUAUGGCCCCAUUCUGAGGUUCCAGUGGACAUAAAUCAGAGGACACUUGUCAGCCUCCUCCAGGGAAUUCCUGUGCCUUUUUUUCAUUUAUAUUUCUUUCUGUUUUACAGAAGUAUAGUGAAUUCCAAUGUGUCCUGUGUCUUUAACCAGGACACCCCAGGGACCUCCUUGGGCUGGCUCACUGAGUGAUCCCAAAGCAGCCCAGAAGCCGGGUCACUGCAUCCGCGAAGAGAGAGUGCCCAUUAGCAUCAUGCAGCCAGGUCCUGUUUCAGUGUGGUGGCCACAUUCUCCAAAUUCGUUGUCAGCAGACAGACCACGGAAGAACGUCUUCCUGGAAUUUCUGCUUCAAGAUGGUCCACAGCUGAGUGAAGUAAGACAGACAGAGACACAUAUAGGGUAUCACUUGUACGUGGAAUCUAAAACAAAUUUUUUUUCAAAUGAUGCAAGUUCUAUUUACAAACCAAAAAUGAACUCAGAGACAUAAUGAACUAACUAUGGUUAUUAAAGGGGAAAGGAGGCGGGACGGAUAAGUCAGGAGUCUGGGAUGGGCAGAUACACAUGACUGUAUAUAAAAUAGAUAAACAGGAAGGUCCUACUGUAAGCACAGGGAACUAUAUCUUGUAACAACCUAAAUGGAAAAAAUAUGAAAAGACAAUAUUUAUAUAUGUCUAUGCGAAAAAAAAAAAUAUGUUCCUUCUUCUGCCUGAGGGUCCAGGUAUGUCAAAUUCCAGAGAUUCCGCACCCAUGGGACCACACGGGUGUGGCCUCACCCGUGCGUCGGACAGUCAGGUGUUUUGCUAUUAAAGACUCCCUCCCUCAGGCUGCAGCCUGGAAGUGGAGGUCGCGGAAUCCGUCUGCACCCCUUGUGGUUUUCAGUCUGCCCCCCUCACCUCAUUCCAAGAUCGCACCUUGACAGGGAUGCUGGGCCCGGCAGAGCCGGACACAGGCUUGUCGUCGAAGCCAUGCUCACGUCCCAGAUGCACCAUGAGGCCAAACAAACGGAAACGCUGGAGUUUGCAGCCGAGAAAGGUUUAUGGCAGGACCCCGCCAGGGGAAGGGGUGGCCCCAAACUCCCCAUGGUUUGAGGGGAGACAUUUCUAAUAGGCAAAAUGUGGGGUGGGGGCUGCAGGGGUGUGACUUGUCUUCUGAUGGGCCGGUGGGGAGGCACCAGGACGGGGCUCCAGGAAUCCUGGGCUCAGCCUGAAGGCGCCAUCCUCCACCUGGGCGGGGGCCUCAGUUCCUUCAGGAGAACUCGGACGCAUUGUUCUGGAUGUGCCUCCCCAAGGCUGCACUCUUGUUUCUUGAAGGUUGUUCCCUCGUUCUCUGCAUCCCCGCCCUUCCCUGAUUAGCUACUGUUUUGACUCUGUCCUUUGGAGCUCAGGGAAGGCCCAGGAGGCUGAAGGAAGUCUGUCCCACUAACAAGAAACGGGAAGUGGGGGGAAGGGACAGUCCUGCUUGGUUUUACCCUGAAGGGCAGAGUCAGGGGAGUUGACUCAGGUGACAGGUCUGAACGCCUGGGAGGAGGUGGGGUGGAGGGACGGGCCAGGACCCAGGGCAGCCUGAGAUCACGGGGUCCCCAGGGAGGAAGAGGGUCUUGUAGACACCCACACACAACGGCUUCUUCAAGAACCACAGCGGGGCUGAGACAGGAGGGAAGGGGCGGGGCAGAGCCUUGAAAGGAGUGACACAGGAAUCAGCACCAAGCUGGCACAGAAGUCAACUCCCAGCGGACCCGGAGGCGCAGGGUGGCGGGCGCUUCGCCCUCGUGUAGACCUUGAGCGAGGCUACGCUCCUUGUAACGCAUCAGCAGGGCCAGUGGCGCUCCCACGGGCGCCGUGCCUGUCCCAGGCUGACCCUGAGAGGUCGGAGAGUGGGCGGUGGUCCAGUCCCUGGGGAUCCCCGCCCCUUCCCCAAAGCAGCUGGAACAAUCCGCCUACUUGUCAGCAUGUGAGAUAACAGGGCCCAUAAAAACCAACAGCCCACAGCUCGUGGCCUUUCUCUUGCCUUGUGAGACGGCCGCACUCUGUCUGCGGAGCGUGUUUCUGCUUUUCCUUUAAAGUGAGCGCCCAGCCCAGCACCUCGCGGCCUCUCCGGCCACCUGAGACGGCCGCACUCAGUCUAGGGCGCGUGCAUCUCUCUGAAUAAAUCCGCUUUUACUCAAGUGUGGCUCGCUCUUGAAUUCUUUCCUGCACGGAGCGAAGGACCCACACUUGGCGGGGCGCAUCCCAGGGACCUACCUGGCACCUGGGACACGGCCAUCCUCUCCUGCCCCAGAUGUUUCCUGCAUCAGUGGGGCCUUCAACUAGGAGUCUCGCUCUGCUGUGUAAAUUUUCUGAGGAUGAAAGUCUGUCCCACUUCUGACUUCCAAGAAAGCCAGCUCCUGGAGACGUUGCAGGGGGAAGGGACCCUCCUACACUGUGCAUGCGAAGGCAGACUGCUGCAGCCGCUACGGAGAACAGCCUGGUGAUUCCUCAAAAAACUAAAAAUAGGACCAGGAGGAGACGGCGUGGAGUCCCGGCGGGUCAGGCAAAAAAGCUAAAGAGAACCGAAAAAGUUCCCAAGCCUCCUGCCAAGCCGAGCAAAGUAGCGGAGGACACGGAGGAGGAAGAAAGAGAGACCACGUCCCAGGCCCGAUCUGCAAGGGCCAGUGGGAAAAUAAGGAACAAAUUCUCAUCUUUUCUUCCAGAGAAGUGAAUUUCAGAACAAGACAUUUAAAGCAAGAUUUGAGAAUGUUGAUAUCUCCUUCUUUUUUUUUUUCCCCUUUUUCAGUUUUAUUGGGUAGAAUUGUUACUGUUCAACUGCACACACACAUUACACUGCAUGUAAAUACAUGUGCACGAUGUACUGCACAUGUUUUUUUACUUUACAUAUGUGUGCUGUGCAUUGUCUCUGAGAACAAUUUAGAGCUUCAGCUUUUUAAACUUACAUAGUUGUCAAAGGAAUCAAGCCAGCCCCAAAAUAAGAAUCAAAAGAAUGCAGUCAUCCAGUCAUAAAUCGGCUGACAUAUAUUCAAGAAAUCAGUCAUCAGAGUUAUAAAUAAUGACUAAUUCAGUUGUGUCCUUAUUUAUUUUAUUUAUUUACUUAUUUUAGAUUCCACAUAUAAGAGAUCUCAUAUGAUCUUUUUCUUUCUCUUUCUGACUUAUUUCACUUACAAUGAUCAUCUCCAGGUCCAUCCAUGUUGCUGCAA
Long non-coding RNA from Camelus dromedarius (Arabian camel), 4270 nucleotides. RefSeq lists it as uncharacterized. NCBI's taxonomy places the organism in Eukaryota, Metazoa, Chordata, Mammalia, Artiodactyla, Camelidae. The transcript has 3 exons. The record is from RefSeq and is a predicted model, not a curated record.